GAGUUUGAUCCUGGCUCAGGACGAACGCUGGCGGCGUGCUUAACACAUGCAAGUCGAACGGGAAACCUUUUAUUGAAACUUCGGCGGAUUUGAUUGGUUUCUAGUGGCGGACGGGUGAGUAACGCGUGGGUAACCUGCCUUGUACAGGGGGAUAACAGUCAGAAAUGACUGCUAAUACCGCAUAAGCGCACAGAACUGCAUGGCUCAGUGUGAAAAACUCCGGUGGUAUAAGAUGGACCCGCGUCGGAUUAGCUAGUUGGCGAGGUAACGGCCCACCAAGGCGACGAUUGGUAGCCGGACUGAGAGGUUGAACGGCCACAUUGGGACUGAGACACGGCCCAGACUCCUACGGGAGGCAGCAGUGGGGAAUAUUGCACAAUGGGGGAAACCCUGAUGCAGCGACGCCGCGUGGAGGAAGAAGGUUUUCGGAUUGUAAACUCCUGUCGUUAGGGACGAUAAUGACGGUACCUAACAAGAAAGCACCGGCUAACUACGUGCCAGCCGCCGCGGUAAUUC
Molecule: ribosomal RNA, 516 nt
Filed under: uncultured bacterium
Lineage: Bacteria
Description: bacterial SSU rRNA
Rfam family: Bacterial small subunit ribosomal RNA
Source: RNAcentral